GUGCCAGCCGCCGCGGUAAUACGUAGGGCGCAAGCGUUAUCCGGAUUUAUUGGGCGUAAAGGGCUCGUAGGCGGCUCGUCGCGUCNCGGUGUGAAAGUCCAUCGCUUAACGGUGGAUCUGCGCCGGGUACGGGCGGGCUGGAGUGCGGUAGGGGAGACUGGAAUUCCCGGUGUAACGGUGGAAUGUGUAGAUAUCGGGAAGAACACCGAUGGCGAAGGCAGGUCUCUGGGCCGUCACUGACGCUGAGGAGCGAAAGCGUGGGGAGCGAACAGGAUU
RNAcentral lists this ribosomal RNA (276 nucleotides) under uncultured Bifidobacteriales bacterium. Its description in RNAcentral is "partial 16S ribosomal RNA". It matches the Rfam family "Bacterial small subunit ribosomal RNA", at positions 505 to 779 of the family's 1533-position model. Lineage: Bacteria; Bacillati; Actinomycetota; Actinomycetes; Bifidobacteriales. The record is from RNAcentral.